AUUGAACGCUGGCGGCAGGCUUAACACAUGCAAGUCGAGCGGGGGAAGGUAGCUUGCUACCGGACCUAGCGGCGGACGGGUGAGUAAUGCUUAGGAAUCUGCCUAUUAGUGGGGGACAACAUCUCGAAAGGGAUGCUAAUACCGCAUACGUCCUACGGGAGAAAGCAGGGGGUCUUCGGACCUUGCGCUAAUAGAUGAGCCUAAGUCGGAUUAGCUAGUUGGUGGGGUAAAGGCCUACCAAGGCGACGAUCCGUAGCGGGUCUGAGAGGAUGAUCCGCCACACUGGGACUGAGACACGGCCCAGACUCCUACGGGAGGCAGCAGUGGGGAAUAUUGGACAAUGGGGGGAACCCUGAUCCAGCCAUGCCGCGUGUGUGAAGAAGGCCUUAUGGUUGUAAAGCACUUUAAGCGAGGAGGAGGCUCUUUUGGUUAAUACCCAAGAUGAGUGGACGUUACUCGCAGAAUAAGCACCGUCUAACUCUGUGCCAGCCGCCGCAGUAA
RNAcentral lists this ribosomal RNA (501 nucleotides) under uncultured bacterium. RNAcentral describes it as "partial 16S ribosomal RNA". It matches the Rfam family "Bacterial small subunit ribosomal RNA", at positions 30 to 523 of the family's 1533-position model. The record is from RNAcentral.